Molecule: transfer RNA, 69 nt
Filed under: Fukomys damarensis (Damara mole-rat)
Lineage: Eukaryota; Metazoa; Chordata; Mammalia; Rodentia; Bathyergidae
Rfam family: tRNA
About the family: Transfer RNA (tRNA) molecules are approximately 80 nucleotides in length. Their secondary structure includes four short double-helical elements and three loops (D, anti-codon, and T loops).
Source: Rfam by way of RNAcentral
GGGAAUGUAGCUCAGUUUUGGAGCUUUUGCCUUGCAUGUGAAAAACCCCAGGUUCAAUUCCUAGCACCA